GGAUGCGGCGUCUCAGGGGCCACGCCUGCCUCCCCCGCCGCCGCGCGCAUACACAGAAUUCCUCAUGCUGCUGCUAUCACGGAACUCAGGGCCCCACACAUUGAUUUUAAUUUUCAACACUUAGCACCUGACUUAGUGAUCUAAGAUCACUGACUCAGAAAACAGGAAAGGUCAGUCUGCCUAACACCUCACCCAGCGUCCUGGGAUUAGCAUCCAAAACAAACAGAUCAGAGAUGGGAUGCAGACUCCCAAGAGAUGAUUCCCACAUGUGAGAAAGCCCAGGAGAAGCGGAUGGCGGAUGGCGUUUCUCAAGCUCGCUGACGUCACUCAAGUUCAUGAUCCAAGGCUUCACCCUACUGGGGUUGGGGGGUUGGGUUCUACUGGAAGAGUGAAGCUGGUGGAUUAAGAAAAGUGGUGGUAGGGAGAGGGAGGGAAAGGAGUUCUUUCUGCUAGUCAAAGGAGAAACCAAAUAAAAUGAAUGAA
This 483-nucleotide long non-coding RNA is filed under the name Homo sapiens (human). RNAcentral describes it as "non-protein coding lnc-SLC39A11-10:35". The record is from RNAcentral. Lineage: Eukaryota; Metazoa; Chordata; Mammalia; Primates; Hominidae.